AGAAUCAACGCUGGCGGCGUGCCUAACACAUGCAAGUCGAACGAGAAAGUGGAGCAAUCCAUGAGUAAAGUGGCGCACGGGUGAGUAACACGUGACUAACCUACCCUUGAGUGGGGGAUAACCUGGGGAAACCCGGGCUAAUACCGCAUAAUACCUACGGGUCAAAGGAGCAAUUCGCUUGAAGAGGGGUCGCGGCAGAUUAGUUAGUUGGCGGGGUAAUGGCCCACCAAGACGAUGAUCUGUA
Molecule: ribosomal RNA, 244 nt
Filed under: uncultured bacterium
Lineage: Bacteria
Description: partial small subunit ribosomal RNA
Rfam family: Bacterial small subunit ribosomal RNA
Source: RNAcentral